This 499-nucleotide ribosomal RNA is filed under the name uncultured Sphingomonas sp. Its description in RNAcentral is "bacterial SSU rRNA". It matches the Rfam family "Bacterial small subunit ribosomal RNA", at positions 29 to 578 of the family's 1533-position model. Lineage: Bacteria; Pseudomonadati; Pseudomonadota; Alphaproteobacteria; Sphingomonadales; Sphingomonadaceae. The record is from RNAcentral.
AACAACGCUGGCGGCUGCUAAUACAUGCAGUCGAACGAGAUCUUCGGAUCUAGUGGCGCACGGGUGCGUAACGCGUGGGAAUCUGCCCUUGGGUUCGGAAUAACUUCUGGAAACGGAAGCUAAUACCGGAUGAUGACGUAAGUCCAAAGAUUUAUCGCCCAAGGAUGAGCCCGCGUAGGAUUAGGUAGUUGGUGAGGUAAAGGCUCACCAAGCCGACGAUCCUUAGCUGGUCUGAGAGGAUGAUCAGCCACACUGGGACUGAGACACGGCCCAGACUCCUACGGGAGGCAGCAGUAGGGAAUAUUGGACAAUGGGCGAAAGCCUGAUCCAGCAAUGCCGCGUGAGUGAUGAAGGCCUUAGGGUUGUAAAGCUCUUUUACCCGGGAUGAUAAUGACAGUACCGGGAGAAUAGCUCCGGCUAACUCCGUGCCAGCAGCCGCGGUAAUACGGAGGGAGCUAGCGUUGUACGGAAUUACUGGGCGUAAAGCGCACGUAGGCGG